Molecule: ribosomal RNA, 405 nt
Filed under: uncultured bacterium
Lineage: Bacteria
Description: bacterial SSU rRNA
Rfam family: Bacterial small subunit ribosomal RNA
Source: RNAcentral
UUAGGAAUCUUCCACAAUGGGGGCAACCCUGAUGGAGCAACACCGCGUGCUGGAUGAAGGCUUUCGAGUUGUAAACAGCUUUUAUUUGCGAAGAAUAUGACGGUAACAAAUGAAUAAGGGUCGGCUAACUACGUGCCAGCAGCCGCGGUCAUACGUAGGACCCAAGCGUUAUCCGGAGUGACUGGGCGUAAAGAGUUGCGUAGGCGGCUAUUUAAGUGAGUAGUGAAAUCUGAUGGCUCAACCAUCAACCCAUUACUCAAACUGGGUAGCUUGAGAAUGGUAGAGGUAGUUGGAAUUUCUUGUGUAGGAGUGAAAUCCGUAGAUAUAAGAAGGAACACCAAUGGCGUAGGCAGACUACUGGACCAUUUCUGACGCUGAGGCACGAAAGCGUGGGGAGCGAACCGG